RNAcentral lists this long non-coding RNA (1827 nucleotides) under Olea europaea subsp. europaea. Lineage: Eukaryota; Viridiplantae; Streptophyta; Magnoliopsida; Lamiales; Oleaceae. The record is from RNAcentral.
CAAAAACACACACACACACUGAAGAAACGGGCAGAGAGCUGGAGACCAAAAAUAGGGAGAAAAACUAAGGAAAAUAAGAGAAGAAAAAGAGAAAGAAGGAAGAAAUGAAGAGAAGGGAAGAAGAGGAAGUGAGGUAAGGUUAUUUUCUCCAAGUUUUGGGUUUAAUUUAUCCAUUGUUCCAAGUGAUUAAGGUGUGAUUUAGGUUAAAUUUUUAGGGUUUUAACUUGUAGUAAUAAAAUGUCAAAUUUAGAUGAUAUAUGUAUGAUUUGAAGCUCAAGUUUGGGGAUUAAUUUUGUUUCGGUUUCAGCAAGGUAGGCAAUAAUUUUUUUGGGACAACCCUAGAAUUCGAUUUCGGAUUUUUGUUUAAUUAAUUGUGGAAAUGAUUAUAUUUAUGGAAUAUUUCACUUGGGAGUUGAUUUUAUGGAACAAAAUGUUUAUUAAAUGGGUGGAAUUAUGGUUACUAGUUUCACUAGAUUGGAGAGUAAAAUUAGUUUUAAAAUUGGGAAGAAGGUUAUGUUGAUGAAUUAGUUAUUAGACAAGGGAUUAGAAAGUAGGAUUAGCUCCAAUUGAUCAAAGGAUUAUUUGGAAAAUUCAUUCGAGCAUCGACCAAUUUUAGUUAAGUAUUAUAGAAGUAGAUCUUAAAGUUUCUUAAUUUAAUAGUGCUUGAUUAGUCAUCUUGUUAUGUAUUCUAGGUGGUGACGAGGAGAUUGGAAGAGCAUAUCGACCAUCUUAGGUUCAGCUUGUAUUAUGUGAGUGGAUAAGCUUAUUUUUCAAGAAAUUAGUAUUUAUUUAAUUUUUAUUAACUCAGAAAAUUUAUUAAUUCAUACAGUCGAUUUGAAAACAGAUUUUCAAAAUAAAGUUUAUUUAUAACCGUUUGUUUUUAAAAGUUAAAUUCAAUUUAGUAAAUCAUUUUAUUGGCAUGUUAUAUGAGUAUUAAAUGUUUCAGCAUAUUUAAAGUUAUUUUCUAAAAACCACCAGAAAGUACCUAGGUAAUUUUACCCUCAUCUGCACUGGUGUGAAUGUGUUUCCAUAGUGUAUGACUUCAUAUGGUUAUUUUACUCACUCUGCGCUGGUGUGAAUAUGUUUCCAUAGCGUAUGAUAAGUAUAGUGAUUUUACCCGCUCAGCACUAUUGUGAAUGUGUUUCCAUAGUGUAUGACCAUUUUAUAGCUCUGCGAGCGUACGACCAGAAUUACAUAAUUUUAGAAUUGAAUAACCUUGCUAUGUAUAUCAAGAUUAAUCGAUACACGAGUUUGGUUAUUUCGGGUAUAUUUUUGGUGUGAUGUUUCAGUACUACAUAGAUUAUCAGAUUUUAGAAAUGCAAUAUACAGAAUAAGGAUGUUUAUGAUUACAGUAUAUUUUAGUUUUAAUAGUAUUAUCAGAUUUUAAAUUACAGAAUUCAGCUUAUUCAGUUUAAAGAAUAAAUAUUUUAGUUUAUAUGUCUGCGAAAAGAAAUUUAAUGCUAUAUGUCGGUUUUCAGAAAGAUUUUAUGAAUGGAAAAGUAUAUUUUUACAAAUAUCCACUCACUGAGUUAUAGGGCUAUAAGCAAAAACUGCCAAACCGAAAAAUCGAACUGAAAUCGCAUUUUAGAAACUGUCGAUUUGGUGCCACGUGGACGCUGUCAACGAAAUAGUUUUGACCCAAACCAAACCGGUCAAAAUGGUUUGGUUUAGGCUUGAGAAUUUUAAUUGCGAUUUAAAACCAAACCGGACCGGCGAAAAAAUAAAAAAAUGAAAAAAUGAAUUUUUUUUGAAAAUUCAUCCAAAUAUGUAAAAUUCAAUAGUUUCAUUUGUAGGUAUUUUUGUCAAUUUCUAAUUUUCUAAUAUAGA